This 572-nucleotide ribosomal RNA is filed under the name Campylobacter ureolyticus. RNAcentral describes it as "bacterial SSU rRNA". It matches the Rfam family "Bacterial small subunit ribosomal RNA", at positions 421 to 1008 of the family's 1533-position model. Lineage: Bacteria; Pseudomonadati; Campylobacterota; Epsilonproteobacteria; Campylobacterales; Campylobacteraceae. The record is from RNAcentral.
GAGCGUAAACUCCUUUUUAUCAGGAAAGAAUAAUGACGGUACCUGAUGAAUAAGCACCGGCUAACUCCGUGCCAGCAGCCGCGGUAAUACGGGGGGUGCAAGCGUUACUCGGAAUCACUGGGCGUAAAGGACGCGUAGGCGGAUUAUCAAGUCUUUUGUGAAAUCUAGUGGCUUAACCACUAAACUGCUUAGGAAACUGAUAGUCUAGAGUAGGGGAGAGGUAGAUGGAAUUCUUGGUGUAGGGGUAAAAUCCGUAGAGAUCAAGAAGAAUACCCAUUGCGAAAGCGAUCUGCUGGAACCUAACUGACGCUGAGGCGUGAAAGCGUGGGUAGCAAACAGGAUUAGAUACCCUGGUAGUCCACGCCCUAAACGAUGUAUACUAGUUGUUGCUUUGCUAGUCAAGGCAGUAAUGCAGCUAACGCAUUAAGUAUACCGCCUGGGGAGUACGGUCGCAAGAUUAAAACUCAAAGGAAUAGACGGGGACCCGCACAAGCGGUGGAGCAUGUGGUUUAAUUCGAAGAUACGCGAAGAACCUUACCUGGACUUGACAUCCUAAAAACAUCUAAGAGAUU